Molecule: unclassified non-coding RNA, 200 nt
Filed under: soil metagenome
Description: partial contains internal transcribed spacer 2 and large subunit ribosomal RNA
Source: RNAcentral
UCACUAAUCAAACUCGGCUUGCUGUUGGACCUUUUGUCGUUAAAGACAGGCCCUAAAGAUAAUGACGGUUGUUAAUUAGACCCUAGAUGCAACGAGCUUUCAUUAGCACGCAUGUUAGUUGGACUUUUUUAACCCGGUCCCUUUUUAACCAAUUUCUUAAGGUUGACCUCGGAUCAGGUAGGAAUACCCGCUGAACUUAA